Molecule: long non-coding RNA, 1886 nt
Organism: Papaver somniferum (opium poppy)
Lineage: Eukaryota; Viridiplantae; Streptophyta; Magnoliopsida; Ranunculales; Papaveraceae
Exons: 7
Source: RefSeq, a predicted model, not a curated record
CCAAAUUUGUUCUCACAAUACACAAAUCAACGGCUGUGAGGUGAUGGUUAGGCGUGAUCCAGACUGCGGUUCACACGCAUGCGGUGAAGUUUCGACUCCCCAUUUUUCAUAGACGAAGUUGGGAAGGAGAGGUAGAGAGAGAAAUAAGAGGAGAAACUAUCUGUUUCAUCGAUUCCAAUUCUAAGAAGAAAAACGAAAAAAAGAUCAGUAUUAUGAACGAUGAGGAAUCAAAUCAAUCUGAUUUUUUAACUGGGCUAUCCAGUUUGAUAUAAGUUUUGGGUUUUGCUUUUGUUGGCGUAUUUCUUUCGGUUCUUACUUCUCUUACUGUUUUGUUUUAGUAGUUAUGAGUAUUGGAAGUUCUAAUUGUUUUUCUUUUAUUUGAUGUUACAGAACUUGGAAGUAACUGAGCAAUGAGCAUUGAGAAAAGUACAUGUCACAUGUGGAUAGAAAGGGAGUCUGCCAAAAAUAAAAUAAAAUGAGAAAGCUCCUAAACCUACCACCGAUCGAUAAUGAGGGUCUUGAUAUGUUUUCCAAGUUCAUGAUCUAAAAGUACAGCUAGAUAAAGGGAGGCUGUUACUUGAGAGAAGAAGAUGAAGAGACUGAUGUGGAUUCUAUUGAGGGAUACAGGACCAAGUGAUAAGCGAGAUGACUCCUAUGUACGAGAUGAGUUGGUCUACCUAAUUGUAUAUUCUCUGAUAACGAAACUCCAUGUCAACUGCGGUUUGCUAUAACUAUGAUUUUUACAAAGGGAGGUCCGAUUUUAUAGACUCUUCGGAGGUAGUUCCCACCAUUAUUCAGCCCGAAUAGAAAUUCUGAACUUUUGCAGCAUUACUUCAUCGUUACGAACUCAAAAGCAGUGAAUUAACAGCACCAUCAUUUCUGCUAAUCAAGGAGAUGGCAGAAGGAGAGAAUUUUGGAACAGAUUUUCACUUUAACCUGUAAAAGAGCUGGGGUUGAACGCUUCAGUGAUUGGUAAUGGCGCUUUACUGUUUACCAGAUUAUGAGUUAUUUCUUAAGGUUUUUAAACUGCACAGGUUUCAUGUGAAGGUAGAACCAAAUACAUGCAGAUGUAGUAUCAUCACCAGACGCAUGUUUUUGUCACUUCAUUUAAGCCAGCAGCAGGAUUUGGUCAAUGAAAACAUAAAGAUCUCUUGCCAUAGGGUACCAGUUGUCUAAAAAGAUGCCAUAUCUGUAUCAAUUCGAGCAAAAUGCAAGGGUUUGGGGGAAGAAGAUAGUUUUGGUGGAGGGAAAGUUGACAGUUCAAUACUUAGAUUUGUUGAUCAUUAACUACGACAGUGAUGUCAACAUCUUAGAAUGAUACAGACAGUGCUUGGAGGUUUCAGUUCAAUUUCACUUAUUUAUUGCACCCGUAGGUAUCGGAAAAAAAAGGUGUUGCUAGCAAAUCCUACACGGCAGGUGAUGAUCAAGUUCUUUUCUCAAAAUUUGGGUUUAUAAAUUACAUAACAGUUAUUACAGUAUAACACAACAAUCAAGAGUCAGAGAACUAAAAACCCAAAACACCGUGUUAGCUCUUCUUCCUCAAAUAGAGUGAUGGGGCCAACAACUUAACAAUAGUUUGGGUUUUGCUUGGCUGAUCGAUAACAGAAAUUCAUUUACAUUCAGAUGUUUGGAAGGUCUAGCGAAAGUCAAAAGUGUUCAAUAUGAUAUCUAUAGACGGGCUCUUCAAUCCUGCAAAUGUAUCGUUAAUUACUACCUACUUAUAUCUUACCCACAAUUGCUUCACAUGUAAGAGUAAAAUAUUUUACAGAGGAAUAGUGUUAGGAAUCUGGGGAGGGAGUGUACUGCUUCUCGAGAAAGGACAGUGAGUAGGUGUGUAAAAGCUAAUAAAAAAAAAUUAGUGAUAAAGUAUGUUUUAUUUUCCUCUG